Molecule: long non-coding RNA, 481 nt
Filed under: Coffea arabica (coffee)
Lineage: Eukaryota; Viridiplantae; Streptophyta; Magnoliopsida; Gentianales; Rubiaceae
Description: long non-coding RNA (CARA_LNC004148)
Source: RNAcentral
UCAGUUCUACUACCUUCCAUCCCUUCCCUUGUUCAUUCAGAUCAUUCUCCGCUCUUUAUACUCUUCAUCAAAUCGAUCGGAAUUCAAUCAAAUAUUGAAAAGGCGCCUGACAUUAGUAUAUGUUGUAGAAUUGAUAAAAGAGCUAGAAUAACUUUUAGAGUGAAUUUCAACUCUGUUCUCCUUGAUAGCUGAACAGUAUGGCCAGAUACCUCACGGCUCUAGUUGUGGCCAUAAUGGUGUUUAUGACUUUAUCUUUGGUGCUGAUGCCAGUGGUGAUGCCUCCGCUUUCUUUGCCCCCGAUGGUGAUUUUGCUAGUUCCAAUUUUGAUGAUUGGCCUUCUUAUUUAUUUGGCAUUAUUUACAUAUCCUAAUGUACCUUAUGUAGAGAUUAACUCCAACAAUGACCGUUAAAAGAUAGGCUUGUUGGUUUUAUUCUGCUCUUCGUGCAGGUUUAUCAAUGGUCUUUAUGUAAUAAGUUUUUA